This 1357-nucleotide ribosomal RNA is filed under the name Burkholderia ambifaria. RNAcentral's name for it is "partial 23S ribosomal RNA". It matches the Rfam family "Bacterial large subunit ribosomal RNA", at positions 1579 to 2925 of the family's 2925-position model. The record is from RNAcentral. Lineage: Bacteria; Pseudomonadati; Pseudomonadota; Betaproteobacteria; Burkholderiales; Burkholderiaceae.
UCGGGAGCGAAGCAAUUGGAAGUGGUUCCAAGAAAAGCCUCUAAGCUUCAGUCUAACGAUGACCGUACCGCAAACCGACACAGGUGGGCGAGAUGAGUAUUCUAAGGCGCUUGAGAGAACUCGGGAGAAGGAACUCGGCAAAUUGGUACCGUAACUUCGGGAUAAGGUACGCCCUUGUAGCUUGAUGCGCCUGCGCGCAGAGGGUGAAGGGGUUGCAAUAAACUGGUGGCUGCGACUGUUUAAUAAAAACACAGCACUCUGCAAACACGAAAGUGGACGUAUAGGGUGUGACGCCUGCCCGGUGCCGGAAGAUUAAAUGAUGGGGUGCAAGCUCUUGAUUGAAGUCCCGGUAAACGGCGGCCGUAACUAUAACGGUCCUAAGGUAGCGAAAUUCCUUGUCGGGUAAGUUCCGACCUGCACGAAUGGCGUAACGAUGGCCACACUGUCUCCUCCCGAGACUCAGCGAAGUUGAAGUGUUUGUGAUGAUGCAAUCUACCCGCGGCUAGACGGAAAGACCCCAUGAACCUUUACUGUAGCUUUGCAUUGGACUUUGAACCGAUCUGUGUAGGAUAGGUGGGAGGCUAUGAAACCGGAACGCUAGUUUCGGUGGAGCCGUCCUUGAAAUACCACCCUGGUUUGUUUGAGGUUCUAACCUUGGCCCGUGAUCCGGGUCGGGGACAGUGCAUGGUAGGCAGUUUGACUGGGGCGGUCUCCUCCCAAAGCGUAACGGAGGAGUACGAAGGUACGCUAGGUACGGUCGGAAAUCGUGCUGAUAGUGCAAUGGCAUAAGCGUGCUUAACUGCGAGACCGACAAGUCGAGCAGGUGCGAAAGCAGGUCAUAGUGAUCCGGUGGUUCUGUAUGGAAGGGCCAUCGCUCAACGGAUAAAAGGUACUCUGGGGAUAACAGGCUGAUACCGCCCAAGAGUUCAUAUCGACGGCGGUGUUUGGCACCUCGAUGUCGGCUCAUCUCAUCCUGGGGCUGUAGCCGGUCCCAAGGGUAUGGCUGUUCGCCAUUUAAAGAGGUACGUGAGCUGGGUUUAAAACGUCGUGAGACAGUUUGGUCCCUAUCUGCCGUGGGCGUUGGAUAUUUGAAGGGGGCUGCUCCUAGUACGAGAGGACCGGAGUGGACGAACCUCUGGUGUACCGGUUGUCACGCCAGUGGCAUCGCCGGGUAGCUAUGUUCGGAAGAGAUAACCGCUGAAAGCAUCUAAGCGGGAAACUCGCCUUAAGAUGAGAUAUCCCUGGGGACUAGAUCCCCUUGAAGGGUCGUUCGAGACCAGGACGUUGAUAGGUCAGGUGUGUAAGCGCAGUAAUGCGUUCAGCUAACUGAUACUAAUUGCCCGUAAGGCUUGAUCCU